This is a long non-coding RNA of Oncorhynchus kisutch (coho salmon), 241 nucleotides long. RefSeq lists it as uncharacterized. NCBI's taxonomy places the organism in Eukaryota, Metazoa, Chordata, Actinopteri, Salmoniformes, Salmonidae. The record is from RefSeq and is a predicted model, not a curated record. The transcript has 3 exons.
AAUCAUUGAUAUUCGGUACGGUUAGUUAAGAUGGCCGAGUACGUCACAAACAGGUGAUUGAAUUGAAUGAAGUUACUGAAGAAAACCGGAACAGAUUAACGAAGAGCGUGAAGACUGAGACCCAUCUCUCAGAUGGAAGAACAGGAGUCUACAGGCUGGCUGCUGGGUGUUUAGGAGUGCUGUGUGUUCUACAAGUCACUCUCAACAUCUCCCUGAGGCUGGCUUUCUCCGGUUCUAACGA